Long non-coding RNA from Cryptomeria japonica (Japanese cedar), 1764 nucleotides. RefSeq lists it as uncharacterized. The record is from RefSeq and is a predicted model, not a curated record. Lineage: Eukaryota; Viridiplantae; Streptophyta; Pinopsida; Cupressales; Cupressaceae. The transcript has 2 exons.
CUAACAUCUUAUGUCUAAUUUCUAAGAUUUAGUUGUAAUUCAACUACGUGACUGCAACCCUACCACUUUCUCUUCAUUUUUGCUAUUCACUGUCUGAUUAAUGGAUUGGAACCCUUCCCUAAAAACAAAUUAAUAUAUAACAUAAACAAUGGAUCUUACUAUAACACUGAAAUAAUUAAGAUAAGUGUGUUUUGCAAACUUAUAUAUAGAGAUGCCCUGAACAAUAAUUUAUCUUACAAAAUUCUCUUAAAAACUUCGGCAGCUCUGCCAUUGUUGGUCUUUUAAGCAGACCUCUUGUCAAACAGAUAGAGAAAAGAUGGCAGAGAGCAGAUUAAGUUUGGUAGUUUAUAUGUUGUUAGUGUUGAUGACAGUUAUGGUGAAGGUGAAGGUGAAGGGAGAUCCAACAUGCAGUCCAGCAGGGAACUUCUGGUGCAACAGUGGGCGAUGUUGCAGCAUAUAUAACUGGUGUGGAAGUACAUCAGACUACUGUGCAUCUGGCAACUGCCUUGCUCAGUGCUGGCCUAAUGCUGUUGCUCUUAACCAGUCUACUUUGAAUCUAUUCCAAAAGAACCUUACCUCAGAUUGAAUCUAUGAUUCUAUCCCGAAAGAACCAGCCGGAGUGUUGGGAAGCAUUAAUUUUUCCAGAGCAUUUAAUAUGGAGGUUUCUCCAACGAAAUAAAGUUCAGCAUUAACUUUUUCCAUCGGCAUUAACUUCUUCCAUUUACUUUUAAAAUAUUAUCCAAGUAUGUGUUUUGAAUAUCUAGAAUUCUGGAUAGUUCUAAAGACCUCUAUAAAAGAGGCAAUUGUAAUAGGUUAAGUAUCAAAGGAGUUUCAGCUGAUCAUGUAUGAGGAAUGCAGCAGCAUUCUCAGGCAAUAUAAUCUGUUGUUAACAAUUGAUUAAUGAAGAUCAGUACUGCAUCACUGUGGGCAAUUUGAUAAAUCUGUGUAUGAUAGUUUUGAGUCAUAAGUGGAAAACAUUCAGAGGGUGACACGGUAUGUUUCGUAUUUCGGGAAGUUUGUCUUGUCUAUUGUAAGAAGGUAGAGGUUGUAUGCCCAACUGUUGAAAGAGAGCGUAACAAAUCCAUAAAAAGAUCAAACUAAUGAAAACCCAAAGUCCAAAGUUUGAUACAGCCGCAGCUGUUAGAAGAUCGGAUUGUUUGAAGGAUAUAAGGCACGUGAUGCUGCCAUAUAAGGUAAAUCACAAGAAGACAAUCGAAGAUAUGUUUGAAAAGAAGAUUUAAGAUUUACAAAAGGCAAAGAGAAUGUUACUGAAUCUUGAAAGAGGUUGCCAUUCUCAAAGGAGAAAUGAAUGGUUUGUAUGACUGGCACAGCCGUAGAGGAAUUGAAUGUUGAAAUUGGAAUCGAUAGUUGUGAAUAAGGACAACCUCCAAUUCGUCCAGCUCUCUUCAUUUUGUCUCUGCUUCCAUCCCAUGCAGAUAGGACUGAGAUUUAAAUGUAUAUUUAAUGUGCAAUGAUUGCUUUUGUUUUUCCCUCUCUGUUGGGCAUAUACGCUAAACUAGGCUAGUGUUUAGUAAUGUUAUGUAUAAGAAAGAGCAGAAAGUGUGUGACUGUAGCAACAGCGAAUGAAGUAUGAAACAGGGGAUGUCUAUUAUGAACAGGACUUACUUUUUCAGCAUUUUCUGAGCACAAGAAAAGGGCAGCACUUAAAUGUUUAUGAAGGGUAGCAGUCUCAUAUUUAUGAAGCAUAUAUUAAUUCUUGUUUGUAUUUGAAAAAAUAUAAAUAUAUAAAUCUCUUUUAGUUCA